GGCUUAGAGUUUGAUCAUGGCUCAGGAUGAACGCUGGCGGCGUGCCUAACACAUGCAAGUCGAACGAAGCGCUUUACUUUGAUUUCUUCGGAUUGAAAAGUUUUGUGACUGAGUGGCGGACGGGUGAGUAACGCGUGGGUAACCUGCCCCACACAGGGGGAUAACAACCAGAAAUGGCUGCUAAUACCGCAUAAGCGCACGAAACCGCAUGGUUUUGUGUGAAAAACUCCGGUGGUGUGGGAUGGGCCCGCGUUGGAUUAGCCAGUUGGCAGGGUAACGGCCUACCAAAGCGACGAUCCAUAGCCGGCCUGAGAGGGUGAACGGCCACAUUGGGACUGAGACACGGCCCAGACUCCUACGGGAGGCAGCAGUAGGGAAUAUUGCACAAUGGGGGAAACCCUGAUGCAGCGACGCCGCGUGAAGGAAGAAGUAUCUCGGUAUGUAAACUUCUAUCAGCAGGGAAGAAAAUGACGGUACCUGACUAAGAAGCCCCGGCUAACUACGUGCCAGCAGCCGCGGUAAUACGUAGGGGGCAAGCGUUAUCCGGAUUUACUGGGUGUAAAGGGAGCGUAGACGGAGCAGCAAGUCUGAUGUGAAAGGCAGGGGCUCAACCCCUGGACUGCAUUGGAAACUGUUGAUCUUGAGUACCGGAGGGGUAAGCG
This 662-nucleotide ribosomal RNA is filed under the name uncultured organism. RNAcentral describes it as "bacterial SSU rRNA". It matches the Rfam family "Bacterial small subunit ribosomal RNA", at positions 1 to 663 of the family's 1533-position model. The record is from RNAcentral.